This 229-nucleotide ribosomal RNA is filed under the name uncultured bacterium. RNAcentral's name for it is "partial 16S ribosomal RNA". It matches the Rfam family "Bacterial small subunit ribosomal RNA", at positions 568 to 796 of the family's 1533-position model. The record is from RNAcentral.
UACGUAGGCGGAAAAUUAAGUCAGUAGUGAAAUCCUGCAGCUUAACUGUAGAACUGUUAUUGAUACUGGUUUUCUUGAAUAUAGUUGAGGUAGGCGGAAUGUGUAAUGUAGCGGUGAAAUGCUUAGAUAUUACACAGAACACCGAUUGCGAAGGCAGCUUACUAAGCUAUGAUUGACUCUGAGGUACGAAAGCGUGGGGAGCGAACAGGAUUAGAUACCCUGGUAGUCC